GCAUUGGUGGUUCAGUGGUAGAAUUCUAGCUUGCCAUGUUGGAGACCUGGGGUUUGAUUCCCAGCCAAUGCA
Ameiurus melas (black bullhead) is the source of this 72-nucleotide non-coding RNA. The record is from the annotation of a GenBank genome assembly. NCBI's taxonomy places the organism in Eukaryota, Metazoa, Chordata, Actinopteri, Siluriformes, Ictaluridae.